GGUUUAGGCCAUAAGGAGCGAAAUCGAGACGAGCUAGGGAAACUCCCAAAGUGUUGAGCCCAGCUAGAUUGUUGACGUUCACAGCAGUAACAUUAGAACCUUGUCGAUUUGCUGUAUUUCGAGGUAUGUUCAGUCCCUGAAAGAAGAAAUCAUUGGCGUUCACGACCUUUGGGUCCUUACAAAUCUUUCCGUUCACAAACACUGCAUUAAAAAAACUAGCUGUUAAUAAUGUAAUAAUGAGACUAAACAAACCCACAUUGAAUUUUGCAUGUCUUAUUAGGUGUCAUGCACGAUGUUGUGAAAAUAAUAAUAAUAAUAAUGAAGAGAGAACUCACAGGUCAAAGCAAACAUGAUAGGAUACGAAAAUUGUGCUUAGAAAAAGAAAAAUGUUUUGCAACAUGUUCUGAUAGGUAUAAGGAAUUACCAGCAUUUUUGGGAUCAUUGAUUGCAACACAAAAAUCCUGCAAAGGGCUAGGAUCAGAAGCGAUAGCAAGGGAUGAAAGUAGUGCCAUUGUGGCUAUGGUUAUCAGGAAUGGAGUUCCCAUGGUAGUUGUGGAUGAGAUCUAGUAUUUCUUACACUAACUCUUUGGUUGAUGGUUUGAGGGAUUUGGGCAAAGAUUGAAGGUAUAUAUAUAUAGGCAUGUUUCAAUUGACUAAGUCACCAAGUUUUUCACUAUUACAUUAAGAAAAUCAGAUUCCUUGACAACUAGGCCAUCAGGUUAGGUUGGUGACUUUUUAAAAUUGCAAGUUAGUCAGCAAGAGCGAACUUUCCCCAACAACUAGGCACAUGCAUUUAGCUGCCUAAGUCUCUUAUCUGAACUCUAUUUUUUUUUUUUUCGCCUCUUUCUUGAAUCUUUUUUCUUUGGAUAAAUUAUUUAUUACCCCCUAUGAUUUUACCUAAAACUAGAUGACCCCUCAAAGGUAUUAAAAUAACCACAUAACCCCCUGUGACUUUAUAUAAAGUGAAAAAUGGAUGGAAUACACAAUUAGUUAUGGCAUUUGUAUCAAACGUGCUUUAAAAAUGCAUGUGAUAAAAUCGUAAUAUCCACGUAACUCCCUUAUGAUUUGUAUAAGUAUCCAUUUUACCCUCCUAUGAUUUUUACAUUUAUCCACGUAAUCUCCUUAUACUUUUAUACAAGCCGGUUACGCCGUUGAUUAAUUUAGCAUUUAAGUAAGGGUACUAAUAGUAUUUUAACUAACAACGUUAUAUAGGUUAUUUUCUAUCAAAUCCCGCUUUACACAAAAUUAUAGGGGAGUGAAGUGGAUAUUUUAAAACAUUAAAGAGCUCAUGUGGCAAUGGACGAAACCACCGGAGGGUUAUAUGUAAUUUAACCUUUUUCUUUUCUCAAUGUCAUGCACCAACCAAUCCGAUCAUUUCUCCAUUGCUAGCGCUUUACUGGAAAAUGUUUCGACUUUCAUUGGGCACUUUAGUUUCUUUUAAUGAAAUUGGUUUGGGCAGAUAGUGUACGAUCUAACAAGCAUGGAAUGUCUGGAUUUGUUGCCACUCGACUUGUAUUGUAUGAGAGCAUGUUGCUCCAAAUUUAUAAGCCUAUAUCUUCUUAUGGCCAAUAUUCUAAGUAUUCAAUAUCAGUUUUUCCUUUCCUGCUCCUACAAGAAAAAAAAAAGAGAAAGAAAGAGCAAGAAAGGUAUAUACCAAUUGGAACGGUCUCCUAUCAGUGUUAAUUUCUUGAUUGAACUUUUACUUUGAUGGUAAAAAGUUUGAAAAGGUCAUGAAGCUAUUCUUGAAACCCUUGUAAUUCUAGAUAUAAUGAUUUUUUUCUGUUGACCAUCCUCCAACAGGUUCUAAUGAUAUGCUUUGUUUGAAUGUUCAGAGUACAGCUAAUACUUCGAAAUUCGUCUUUAAUGCAAAAGAGUUAGCAUGAGAAGCAGUCAGAAAUUCAAUCUUAAUUAUCCUUUUUAGAUUGGAUCCUCUGACUAAAUAUACUUAGCUUUGUUUGGAUUUCAUUUUUCUGGAUUUUUUAUAGAAAAAUUACUAUAGCGAUUUGAUAUAUGUGAAAUAAAAAAAAAUAAUUAAAACAUGUAUCCACAAAAAAAUCGUUUUGAAAAAUUGCAAUCCAAACAGAGCCUUAGCUGGAUAUGCAAUAAUAAAUUAGAGCAUUAAUCUGAUCCAAACUCAGAAAGGCUUUGUGAUAAAACGUACUAUCCCACGCCAUUGUAAUUUUCCAUAUUACCUAGUCAAACCUUAUUAAUUGUGCCCUCAGGGGCUUGGUCUGGUGGUUGAGGUUGUUGAAGAUGGAGUUUCAGAUCUCUGGUUCGAACCUUGCUGCCAGCAAGUUGUUGAGGGUGGUGAAUAGUCUGCGGGAUCCACUCCCUGCGGGACACACCUAAAACAAAAACAAAAAAAAACCUUAUUAAUUGUUUCUAGAAGUUAAGAAGUUAAUAUUCAUGCACUUCUGCCCGCUGUAAAUCCAGAGAAAUUUGGUAGCACAACUAAUCUCGUUUGCAAAUUAAGUCUUUUUAAUAUUCAGUUGGUGGUGUUAGUUGAUUAAAAAAGAUAUAUGACCUAAAUAUCAACCGUUUAGGUGAUCAUUUGUCAUGACCUGGUUUUUAAAAAUAUAGAAAGUAGUUAAUUCCAACCGCGUUAUUAAAAAAGCAUGCACUUCCAGGCAGGCCAGAAGAACUUCUUUGCCUCUUUCUUGAAAAUGAUAUAUGAACUUACGUUAAGGAUAAGAGAUGCCCGAAAGUCUUUGCUGCUGGUUCAAUGCAAACAUGCUCAAACAUGGCCUUCAGGGAUUCAAAAAAUAUUUGUACUCCAGUAACUAGAAAUGACAGAAGUGCUUAUAAUUAGAAGGCUGCCUUGCAGUUUUUCUGCCUGUAGUUGAUUGCCCAUGUUUUUCCAUUUUAUUUUUUGUUGAUUCCAAAUAUUUUCCAAUAUAUUGGAAAUAAUUUUUUUCACAUUAUGUUAAUUCAUUUAGGAUGUUAAAGAAUCCCAUUAUCUUUCUUAGUUUCAUUUCAAGCGUAGAAAAUAUGCAACCAUUAUACAGUCACAUACUCUCGAAUUGCUUUCAAAAUAGAGGUAUCCCAUCAGUAAAUAUACCUUAAUAAGUUAUAUACAAAAGAGCAUGCAAUACUCUAUAAAGGUCAUCAGUUAUUAGCAAAAGUUGGAGAAACUCUUGGUUCCAUUUGUGGCUAUAAUUGCCCUAGUCAAAACAAAGCAGGGUAUUAUUUCCACAUUGAUUUUUCCUAUGAUUUUCAUUGCACCUUAAGUUAUAUCAAUAUUUAUAAUGAAAUACUGUACUAUCCAAAAAAUGGAUAUAAAAUUCACAAACAUGCCAAAACAUCAUCUAUGUUUUAAAUGUCAAAGCAUCAUAAGCUAAAUGCAGGGAUUCAUGUCCUCCGAUGCAGUCAUUACAAACUUACGAGUGACGGAGUCAAAACUUCAUAAUUAGAGGGAGCGAAAUAAUCACCUAAGCUAAUAACAUACUGUUAGUAAAAUUAGGCUGGUACAAUAUAGGAAAGAAUAAAUAUAAACUGAAAAUGGGUGGAGAUAGAAAAUAACAAUCUGAGGCUUGUGAGCGCAAUUUCCUUAAAACAGAUUUGCCCCCUAUAGGUAGAGUGCUCGAAGUUAAGUAGGCGUCUGUCUCCCAGGAUACAACGGAUUAAAGGUGAAAAUGUUAGCACCAAACUUCUUCACCACAGCGAACUCGAACUAGAGCAAUAUAUAUGAAACACUAUAAAAGAUGAAGAUGCAAAAGAAUUAAAAAAAAUUGGAGAGAGAGCUCUAUUUUUUUAAAACAAAAUAAAAAGAGAGUUAUUUAUAGAUGCUGGCCAAGGGUGAUUGUAGACAUUGGAAACAAAUGUUAAAUUUCAUUUAAUUAUCUUCACAUUUAUCAAAGUACCACAUUCACGUACAUACAUGUAUUCUCGAUAAGAAAACUCCAAAUUCAUGUAUUAACAAUUACGUACAUAAAUACUUAAUUCCUAAGUACAUGAAUCCUAGAUACAUGAAUCUUUAAGUACAUGAAUGAUAGAUAAUUAUCCUUGGAUUCUAUCAAGAGUGUCAUUAUGAGAACGAUUUUCUCAUUCACUCUACAAUGGAUUUUCCAUUUUCCCAACAAUCCCCCACGUGAAUGAAAAAAUUGUUUUGAAUUUGACUCUACAGUAGUGUUCCACAACUGAGACCUGCAUAAGAUAGGUUGGUGUUACCCUUUGAACCUUCUCUCGUGAAAUACACUUACUUUACUAGCAAUCCAGUAGACAUGAUGUCUUUGAACUGUCCCGCUUUUCAGUGUAAAUGAACCAUAUAUUUCACACAGGAAUCAUGCUCCAUUUGUUCAGUUCUCAUAGUUAUGUUCGUUUUGGCCAUGAACAUCAACCUGGUUCAGCAAGAGUUUUUAGAAUUGAGCCCUAAACAAUUCUCUUUUGAAGCGGCCCCACUUCACUCUCACAUAGGUGAUUUACUUAAGUCUCUAGCAAUUAAUUACUGCACUUAAGAAUCAUUAAAGCACACCAUUGUACUAUCCUCAAUUCUUCUUUGCGUCAUUUUUUCAUUAUGGAAUGGGUCUAGGGAUAUCCCCCCCACAAUUACUAUGCUAAGUCCUUAUAAUUAGGUUGUCCCUUUGAACCUAGAUAUUGGGAUCUCCAGUCUGUUAGGUUGGGUUUCCUUUAUAACACUUAGCCUUCCAUGGGCUUUAGUCCCAUUCCCUUUGCCAUUUUUUCAACCAACUCUCUAUUCAAUCCUUUGGUUAGCGGAUCCGUUAUGUUAUCCUUUGAUUUCACAUAAUCAAUAGAGAUAACUCCUGUUGAGAGUAGUUGUUUAAUGGUAUUGUGCCUACGACGUAUAUGUCUAGACUUACCAUUAUAUAUGUGAUUUUGUGCUCUUCCAAUUGCUGAUUGACUAUCACAAUGAAUACAUAUUGGUGGCACAGGUUUUUCCCAUUUUGGAAUGUCCUCAAGGAAAUGGUGUAGCCAUUCAGCUUCUUCUCCACAUUUAUCCAAGGCAAUGAAUUCAGAUUCCAUUGUAGACCUAGCUACAAUAGUUUGUUUAGAAGACUUCCAGGAUACUGCCCCACCGGCAAGUGUGAACACAUAUCCACUUGUAGAUUUUGAAUCUUUUAUAUCAGAUAUCCAAUUUGCAUCAGCGUACCCUUCUAGAACAGCAGGGUAUCUAGUGUAAUGCAGUCCAUAGUUCCGAGUGUACCGUAGGUAUUUAAGUACCCUUGAAAUUGCUUUCCAAUGAUCAGCACUCGGAUUGUUUGUAAAUCUGCUCAAUUUGCUCACUGCAUAUGCAAUGUCAGGUCUAGUGCAACUCAUUAAAUACAUUAGACUUCCAAUGAUUCGUGAGUAUUCUACUUGAGAAAUACUCUCUCCUCUAUUCUUAGAUAGAUGGAAACUAUUGUCUAAUGGAGUUCUUGCAAUUCCAGAAUCAUUCUUAUUGAAUUUUUCUAGAAUCUUGUCCACAUAAUGAGUUUGGCUCAAGACCAAGCCGUCUGAUAUUCUUGUAUAGUGUUCCAUAUUUUGUAGGAGCUAAUAUAGUGUUCCAUAUUGCUCUAGUUCGAGUUCGCUAUGGUGAAGAAGUUUGGUGCUAACAUUUUCACCUUUAAUCCGUUGUAUCCUAGGAGACAGAUGGCUACUUAACCUCGAGCACUCUACCUGUAGGGGGCGAAUCUGUUUUAAGGAAAUUGUGCUCACAAGCCUCGGAUUGUUAUUUUCUAUCUCCACCCAUUUUCAGUUUAUAUUUAUUCUUUCCUAUAUUGUACCAGCCUAAUUUUACUAACAGUCUUAAAACAGAUUCGAUUCUCAAUGGCUGACAAUAAAGGAAGAGAAACCAACAAUUCUACUUCUGAUGCCUCUGCCUCUGGCACUAUUGUGAAACGACCUGAAGGAAUGAUUACUCCUAUGGUUUCUACCAACCAUAGUAAGAAACCUGAGAAGUUCCAUGGCUUGAACUUCAAGACAUGGCGACAAAAAAUGUUGUUCUAUUUGACAACAUUGAAUCUCUCGAGAUUCUUAAGUGAGGAUGCUCCAAAACUACCUGAGGGCUUAACUGAUGCACAAGCUAUCAGUGCUAUUGAUGCUUGGAAGCACUCCGAUUUCCUUUGUUGAAAUUAUAUCAUGAACUGCUUGCAUGACUCGCUGUAUAACGUGUAUCAAGUACACAAGACGGCGAAGGGCAUUGUGGGAAUCCUUGGAUCAGAAAUAUAAAACCGAAGAUGCCGGGGCAAAGAAAUUUGUCGUCGGAAAAUUUCUAGACUAUAAAAUGGUGGAUUCCAAGACUCUUAUCAGUCAGGUGCAAGAAAUUCAGAUUAUCUUGCAUGAGAUUCUAGCUGAAGGCAUGAUUUUGAGUGAAACCUUUCAAGUAGCUGCUGUUAUUGAAAAGCUACCUCCUGGGUGGAAGGAUUUCAAGAACUAUCUCAAGCACAAGCGCAAAGAGAUGAGUAUGGAGGACCUUAUUGUUAGACUUUGAAUUGAAGAAGACAACAGGGGUUCCGAUUACAAGGCAUUAAAUUCUUUUGAUGCUAAAACAAAUAUUGCGGAGUGUAAGCAAGAGCAAAACUCCAAAGGCAAAAAGCCAAAUCGAAAUUUUGGGGCAAAAGGGAAAAUCUCUAAGCAGAAAUUUCAAGGGAAAUGCUUCAACUGUGACAAAAAAGGUCACAAGUCCACUGAAUGUAAGCUUCCAAAGAAGAAGAAGCAUGAAGCGAACUUGCUUGAUAGAAUCGAGAGAGACAUGGAAAACAUGAACCUGACUGCUGUGGUUUCUGAAGUGAAUAUGAUGGGGUCAAAUCCGAAAGAAUGGUGGAUUGACACUGGAGCAACAAGACAUGUUUGCACAAACAAAGACCUGUUCACUACCUUCGAAAAAAUUAAAGGUGAAAAUGUUAGCACCAAACUUCUUCACCACAGCGAACUCGAACUAGAGCAAUAUGGAACACUAUAAAAGAUGAAGAUGCAAAAGAAUAAAAAAAAAUUGGAGAGAGAGCUCUGUUUUUUUAAAACAAAAUAAAAAGAGAGUUAUUUAUAGAUGCUGGCCAAGGGUGAUUGUAGACAUUGGAAACAAAUGUCAAAUUUCAUUUAAUUAUCUUCACAUUUAUCAAUGUACCACAUUCACGUACAUACAUGUAUUCUCGAUAAGAAAACUCCAAAUUCUGGUAUUAACAAUUACGUACAUAAAUACUUAAUUCCUAAGUACAUGAAUCUUCAGGUACAUGAAUGAUAGAUAAUUAUCCUUGGAUUCUAUCAAGAGUGCCAUUAUGAGAACGAUUUUCUCAUUCACUCUACAAUGGAUUUUCCAUUUUCCCAACACAUACAACUUAAGUUUUAAUUCUUGUUAUACAAAAGAAAAAUUAGGCAAAAGUUAUUCUUUGUGCUUGUUGAUAGGAGUCAAUAUCACCAAAAAUAAAAUAUCUACUCUUAAUAUCUACUUUUGAGUGCAAUGGCGAGUAAGGUCAUAUCCAUAGGGAUUGGCUAAUUUAUUUUUUUGCAAAAACUACAAGCAACAUGAGAGGGGGGAGACUUUUAGAAAUUUAACUAAAUAAUUUAAUUAAAAGUAAAUAAAAAUGCAACAAUAUAAUAAUACUAAAUUAAUAUUAUACAAACUUCUAGUUAACUAAUCAUUGAUGCAAGGAUAAAAAUCAUAUAUUCAUAAAUAAAUUGGUUAUAGUUGUUAACAAACUCUAAUAACCAAUCUUUCCUUACUUUCUCAAUAAUCACAGCAGGCUCUAUAGUUACUUUUUAAAUCAAAAGACAACCCUAAACAAGCUAUUAGGAUUUGAUCUUUCAAAAUCAUUAAGAACUAGAAAAGCCAAUUCUAGCCAACUAACUCGCAGAUUCGAUUCAUUUAGAUUGGAUUAUAUAUUUCCAUGACAUAUAUUUGAAAGUUUCUACUACAAUCAAAUUAUAUCACUAACCAUAAAUACUAAAACUAUUAAAAAUUACGGAAUUGAUAUUUUAGAUGUUGAUAGAUUAUUCUGACAAUUAAAUAUUGACCAGAUAUUUAAUCAUGCAAAAUAAUUAUCUCAAGAAAGCACAUAGAAUUUAUAAAUACCCAUGAACUAAUGAAACAUAAAAAAAUCAAAUUAGAUCUCAUUGUAGAACCAAAAGCCUUUAUUAUCUGUCAACUAGAGAUGAAAGUAACAAGAGAAAAAUAUAGAAAAAAAUAUAAAAAUAGGAUUCACAAGAGAGUGAAAGAGAUAGAGAGAGCCGCCCUCCAAAAAGAAUGUUCUUAUGUCUGUCACGUCUCCUUUUAUAUGAGACUCUUUCCCCAAAAUUAAUCCUCUACUAAAAAGGAAUCACUCUUAUUUUAUAAUAUUCUACCUACUAAAACCUCUUCUAAAAAGGAAUAAAGUAAUAAAUAUCCAAGACUAAUUGGUUACUAUCUAAAAAUAAAAGUUUGCUAAACAAAGUUGGAUUCAAAGUCUGCUGCCGAUAAGGAAAAGAGUCGGCUUGAAGAUUUCUUAUCUAGUAAUAAAUAGAACUGAAAACGAACCGAGCCAAGUCGAAUAUCUCAUGUUUGAACUCUGCUUAUUAAACUACUCAAACAAAUCUCGAGUUCGUUUGAUAAUAUUUGAGCUCCAGAUCUGUAUUCGUACUCGGCUCAUAAGCAAAAUUCUAGUUCGAUUUUGAGCUUAAUCUCGACUCGUUUAACAUAAACGAGCCAUUCGCAAACAAUUAGACCCAUUUUUGCAAAAAAUUAAGCCUAGAAUUAGGGAUUAGGAAUACAAUAUUAACCAUAAAUUUUGUGAAAUGACAAUUAAGUCCAUUUUUGCGAACGAUCGUUUAAAUUCGUGAACGAGUUAUGUUUAGCCAAUCCUUUCAAGACAGAAGACAUUAUUAGAACACAUUAAUUCAUAUAUACAACGUAUUUAGAAGUCAGCAGUAUCUACGAGAAGUUAAAGAUCAAUAACUUAAUCUCAGGUAGUCAUGAUAAAUUACAGGACAAGAUAAUUCCUUGCUUGAAUUGUUGACAACUUAGAUAAGGCAGAAAGCCCUCAGACUCCUCUGCAGUGGAUAUUACUGAACAAUUGGUUUUACAAUUAAGAGCUGCUUUCAGAAACACCCGGCCAAUUCUCUCAAAGGGGCUCAUCUCCUCACUGCUGAAGCAGAAUGGGUAAGUAAAAGUGCCAAGCAAGAAAAAGAUAAGCGCAAAACCAAUGGCGAGGCAGAGAUUCCCAAAUCCAAGGCUCCAACAAGGUUAUCCCGAAAAUAGAUCAAAAUCAGUACCAAAUCCAAGGCCCCAACUAAGGUUAUCCUGAAUAUAGAUCAAAAUCAGUAAUAUGACCGACACAGCCCCGCAGACCCCAAAAUUCCACCAGUUGAAAAACGAGCUUUGUGCCUUGCUUUCUUCUCCAUCAAAUUGGUCAGCUCCAAAAGCCUGUAUACAAGGGUUAAACUCUCCAUGGGCUACAGUUGAAAAACGAGCUUUUGGCCUUGUGUUCUUCUCCAUCAAAUUGGUCAGCUCCAAAAACUUGUAUACAAGGUUUAAACCCUCCAUGGGCUACAGCUACUAGAUACAAUGGGAAAAAGAAGAAAAUAACUUGGAACUCCGAAGGAGAACAUUUCAUAGCAUUUGCCGCAUUGUGACAGCUUGGAACUCCGAAAGGGUCAAGAAGCCAAGUCCCUGAUGAUUGACAGAAAUGUAAAGCUUAAAAAAUUGUGAUACCGAAAUUAAGCUUUUGGCCACUUGUUGAUGACUAAGUAACAAAUCUGGAGUCAUGCAUAAUUUUCUCUAGGUAAUUAUUCCGUUCUUCCUUUGGUAGUAAUUAACCCCUCAACCUAUUUUCACUCAUAAUUGAUAUAUGAGGUACACAUCAAACUUCUUGCGGAGCGCUUUUUUCUUUUUCUUUUUUUUUUGUUUGGGCUUCUUGUGGAGCAUUAGCCAUUGAAAAUCAAAUUCAGAGCAUUAUACAGCCAAAAGAGCUGAGAGUUUUAACUACAAAAUUGUCUAAAUAGACAAUAUUCAAUUAUAUUCAAUUCUCAGAGAGUGCAUCUACAAGACUACAAUGUUUUUUUUUUUUUUUUAUUUAGCUUGUAGUAUGACUUCUUAGAGAAUAGAUUAUACUACAAACAUCUUGUUACGUACUUGGGUGUUAAUUUUCCCUCUAAAUCACCAAGAUUGAGCUCAGGCAUAAAAUCAUCCACAUUAUUUAAUUCUCCGCACACUAAAAAUUUUUAAAAGAUAAAAUUAAACCAAAAAAAAAUUUUAUAUACAAAUUCCCAAAUCCACAAAUAACAGUACCAAUAUUAACAUAAAAUAAAAGGUAAGAUAAAAAGAAAGGAAAAUAAGAUGGUAACGGCCCGUGACUUAUCCCAGAGUUGUGCUAAAAUUGUGGGAGGAAAUGGAUUACCGGUUCCUCCCAUAUUUUUAUCUUUCAGCUCUCCCUCUCGCACUGCACCCUAUAAACUUGCUAUCUCUGCCGUCGGCUCCCAAAUCCUUUUAAUUACCAACUUAUUUGUCUACUGACGGCAAUCAUUAGAUUCUAACCAUUACUCAGACCGUCUCCCCAUCCGACUUCGUCUCCCAAAUUUUCUUUUUCUUGAGAAAAUUCUACUUUUUAUUAUGUACUGAAAAAAAAAGAGAAAGGAACUUGUACAAUUUGAAGGGACAAAUCAUUGGGUUUUUAACUGCAAUUUUCUAAAACCGUUUUAAAUGUUUGGCUUCAUUCCUGUUUGCUGUCCAUUUUUGAGGCAUCGAAAGCCGAUUAAAAAUUUUGGAGACGUUGCUAUAAGCAAGGGAAAUGAUUAAUUUGAGAUUCAUUUUGGUUUUCAUUUUGAGUUUUACAUGUCAUUUAGGAUUUGUUGUUGAAAAAGGAUAAAGUUAUGCAUCGAUUUGGCAAUGAUUUGCAGUCGCUGGUUGGUGUCUCCAAUGGGAUUGUGAUAGGUUGUGGUUGCCGGCUAUUAUCUCCACCCAGAUUGUGGUGUUUGCUCCCAACAAUUGUGAUCGGAUGCAGUUUUCCUCUUUCCAUUUUAAUUGAAUGUGAAAGUAUUUUCCAAGCACUAAAUUAUAUUAUUAACCGAUCUGACAGACCUCCUCUUAAAGACUCAAUCUAACAGACCUCUGUAGAUUCAAUCUUAAAGGCGUCUGUGAUGUAAAUGUUGCUCAAAACGAAAUAACAACGAAAGGAAAGCAAUAACUAAUAAAUGGCCUCAAGAUAGGAUGAUUUUAAAAUUCAAAAAUCAGGUACACUUUCUUUAUCUUCUCAAAGACAAUUGUAUGGAUAGACAUUAUUUGCAUCAUUAUUUUUUCAUCUAAUUUUUUAAUUUUAUAAUCUUUUUUUUUUAUCUCACAUUCAAGUGCUACCAUGUUACUUCCUCAAUUUUUUUUCAUUAUUUCACUUUUUUAAUGCUUCAAAAUAGGAGCCACAUUCGAAAUGUCAACGGAAUGUUUCAUUGCUUUUCACCAGGGGCGGAGCUAAGACCCCACAGUAAGUGGGGUCAAAUUUUAGUACAGUAAAAUUUAUUUUUUAAAAAAAUAAAAAUUACUAAUAUUAUAUACAUGUUAUCAUUAUGCCCUACGAGUACUCUUUUUUUUUUUAAAAUGUUGUAAAAUCAAUUCAUUAUCAAUUUUGUUAAAUGCAUAUUUUUCAAUGUAAGUAACUGAAUCUCUUGAAUUUUUUUAAAAUAAUCUGCAAAUCACCAUCAACUUAAUCUUCUACAGGUUUCUUUUAUAAAAUUUAUCUUUACCAUAUUAUAAAUAAAAAUCAUAAUAACUUAAUUACGUAUUAUAAAUAAAAAGUUUACUAUCCACUUGAAUAAUUAUUGUUUUUGAAGAUUUUGAAGUUUGAAAAAAAUGAUUUGAAAAAUUGGUUUUCUCACUCCACUCAAGAAAGUUCUCCCCUUGUGUUUGGAAAUUUUAGAUGAAUUUAUUCUUGAACUAAAUUCCAUAGAUAAUUUGAAAUAAAUUCAAAAUUAUUGUGAUGGUAAGAAUUAUGAAUUUUCAAAUUUUUGGGGUCAAUGUAUAUAAGAAAGAGAAUCUGAUAAAAUAUAGUGAGGUCAAAUAAUCUGUAACUUUAAAAUUUUUCAAAUUUCUUAAGCCUAAGAACUAAUUUUUCAAAGUUAGGUGGGGUCAAUUGACCUUACUUGCUUGUAUGUAGGCAUGGCCACGGUUCCAGAACCAACGGUUCCAGAACCAACGGUUCUGGUUCCAGAACCGCCGGUUCUGGUUCUUCAAAGAGGUAGAACCAGAACCGCACCAUAUAAGAUGGUUCUGGUUCUGGUUCCAGAACCGGCGGUUCUGGUUCUUCAAAAAGGUAGAACCAGAACCGCAUAGUUCUGAUUUCGAUUCCUUAUGGUUCUGGUUCUGGUUCUGGUUCCGGUUCCGGUUCCGUAUGGUUAUAUACAAUUUUAUUUAAUUUCUUAUCCUUACCAAUUUUAAUACGAAUAUAACAAUAUAUUUAAAAUUUUAAAUAAAAUGUAAAAAAAUAAAUACAAAAUAAAUAUCAUAUUUUAAUUUUAUUAUUAUUCUACAAAGUACGAAAUAAUAAAUAGAUAAUAGAUGAAGAAAUUGAGAGUAGUUUAGAGAUGGAAGAGAGAAGAUUGAUUUUGGUGUAGUAGAAAAUAAAAUUUCAAGUCUUAUUUAUAGGACAAAAUGAAAUUAAAAAUUUGGAACGUUGUAUUGUAACGUUCCAAAUUUGUAACGUUGUAUUGAAAAUUUGGAUAAAAUUACAACGUUGAAUUGUAACGUUGUAAACUUGUAAUUCACCCUAACCCCCAAUUUGUCAAAUUUAGCAGGCAGCCACCUUUCUUGUUUUUUUUCUAUCCUUUGCUUUGUUUCUUUCUUCCGUUGAGAGCCUGAGGACCUUUGUGCAAGUCAGGAGGAGCCCCCGAGAGCAAAAAUUGAGAGCAAAAAUUGUGGUGGCAUCAUGAUGACCUUGGUCAUCAUGAUGCCUCUACUUUUAUUAUUUUUUAUAUUAAUUAUUUUUAAAUUUUUUAACGGUUCUGGAACCGGCGGUUCUGGUUCUGGUUCUAUUUUUUAGAGAACCAGAACCGGAACCUUUAUCCAAGGUUCUACUACGGUUCUGGUUCCACGGUUCUGGUUCCGGUUCUGGUCCGGUUCCAAACGGUUCGGUUCCGGUCCGGUUCCCGGUUCCAAGUGGAACCAUGGCCAUGCCUACUUGUAUGUGGCUCCGCCACUGCUUUUCACACUUAUCCAUUUGAAAAAAUAACUUUUCCCACCUAACAAUGCACUAUUCCUAAUUCCAAACUUUGAAUGUGAGAAUAAUAUUGUACGCAUUGUGGACCGAGCUUCUCAAUAAUCAAAUCAAGCUCUAACCCCGCAAAAGGGCUUCUGAAAAAGAAAACAAAUUUGAUUAAUUGAUUGAGUCAAGCUUAAAUAAAAAUUGACUAGUUCUUUAUAAUUUGUCCACCAAUUUGUCUACCUCCUUAAAUAAAAAAUUAAAAAAUUAAAAAAAAUUGUCUAGUUCGCUUCAUAAGCAAAAGGCUUUAUGGUUCCAUUUCCAUAUGAUCAAACUAUAGUAGAGUUCUGCCUUAAAAUAACAUACUAUAAACAAAAGGUUCAAACAAAUGGAGAAAACAAAGUAGGCACCAGAGAUAAAGCACAAGCACAAGUACACAAUGAAUAUUCCUACUAACAAGGCUGCAAGGGAUAAAGCCAAAAUAAAAGUACCAACCAGGAUAUAGAACAGUGAGGAAAGUACUAUGGUCCGGUAAUGGCCGAAAAACGAGUCGGCUAUAAAAGCACACGAAAGUGGCAAAAGCUGCGCUGUGCCGGACCAAGCAUUCACGUUCUCGGCCACCGCCGUAGCUGUGGCCGCAUCAAUUAACUGAUCAAAUUCCCACUUAUUCCGUAAUAAACAAACCUAUCUGCCAUCUCCAUACUGCAAAAAGAAUAACAAAGAAAACUUGGGCAUUUUUUUUUAUUAUUUAAAUCUGUAACAAAAUAAUUUGGCUUUCUUUUUUUUUUCCGAAACUUUAGGAUAAUUUCAUUCAGCGUAAAGAAAUUUACAUAUGCGAGCAAAGGCUCGAGAGAACUGUACAUUUAGUGUUCAAAGACACUGAAGAACAUUCCAUUCCUCAUCCAAAAGAAUGCGUAAGGCAUUAAAGCUAAGUCUUAUACUAUUUUCCAUAUUUUCUUCUCUAAGCAAGCAAAAGAAGCACAUGCGAAACAGCUUCUGCAUGUUAGAGAUGUCCUCAAGCAAAGUGGCCAUUCUACUAUCCGAGGGACUCUAAUGUGUUAUUUGUCUCAUCAAUUCCUUGUUGUGUGAGUUGAGCUUAACUCUACUCCACUGUUGUUGCACAGCUUUGCAUAAGACCAGUUUUAAUGCCACCGCAUCAUCUAGGACUUUUUUUCCCAAACUUCUCUCUUUUAGCGCCCAUUUUGCAAUCCUAGUGUUUGGAGUUAUCCUAGCUGUGACUCCAAUUCCAAGUGAGGUCUGUCCUUGCUGACUUGUUGUUGUCACAUCCAGGACUAUGGUUCCUUCACCUUCCUGACCCUGGCAUUGCUCUGCAUGCAUGUAUGCUGUUUCUUUUGUGCUCAUCCUUCCCUUAGAUUUCUCAAUUUCCUCAUGCUCCAGCCAUUCUUUGUGAGCUUUUUCGACUGUCCUUACUGGUGAGGAGUUGCUUGAGUUCUCAAAUUCUUUUUUGUUUCUAUCUUUCCACACUUGCCACAAGAUGUUUGCAGUCAGACUAUAUGUUCCAGCCCUUCCGGUCUUUUCCUUGCCUCAGAAAUUCUGAUCCACCAUCUUUUGAAGUCUCCUUGUUGAUCUUUAGCACCAUCCCAUUGGAUAGGGGCAGCCUUCCAUAUGUCAACAGUGUGUGGACAGCUUAGCAGUAAGUGUUCUACCGUUUCUUGUUCCUCCCUACAGGUUCUGCACAUUGGAUCUCCUAGUGCUGUCUUCUUGUGUAUUGCUUCUCUUACUAGCAAUGCACCUUUUAUAAAUUUCCAGAUGAAGAUCUUGAUUUUGUGUUUGAUGUUGAAUUUCCAUAGGGUGUGCCACAUCUGUUUAACUUGUUGGCUUCCAUCUGAGUAACUUGUACCAGCUGCAUCAGUUUUGCAUUUUUCAACACAAUUAUUUUCUUCCAUCAAGAUUCUAUAGCCUGAGCUGACUAUAUAUGUCCCUCCUGCUUGUGGUUGCCAAUAAUAACUGUCCUCCCUCCCUGACAAGCUUAGUGGAAUGUUUAGGAUCCUCUCUGUAUCAUUGUUGUUGAAAGUUCUAAAGAUGAUAUUCCUCUUCCACCUUUUAUGACAGAUUAGCUCAUUCACCGUCUUCAAGUCACAGUUUAGAGGUCUACUGGAAGUUGGUUUACCAGUGGUUGCCCCUGGUAUCCAUUUGUGUUCCCAAAUGCUUGUACUCCUUCCAUUUCCAAUUCUUCUGAUCAGACCUUUAUCAAUUAAACUUCUGGUUCCCAUUAAACCUUGCCAGAUCCAAGAGGCAUUCUUGAGUGGUUUGCAUUUUAAAAUGGAUUCCUUAGGGAAGUAUUUGGCUCUCAAAACUUUACUGACCAGGAGGUUUGGUUUGGUGAGAAUCCUCCAAACCUGCUUCCCUAACAGUGCUUUAUUGAAAGCUUCUAGGUCCUUAAAGCCCAAUCCUCCUUCAUUUCUCUUCAUUGCCAUUUUCCUCCAAGAAAUCCAAUGCAUUUUGUUAUUGCCAUUUGUUUCUCCCCACCAGUAGUUGGCCAUCAAUGCGCUAAUAUCUUUGCAGAGUUUCCUUGGUAGCUUAAAGCAGGACAUGGCAUACGUUGGCAUUGCCAUUGAAACUGCCUUCAGCAUUACUUCUUUUCUUGCUGUGCUAAGAAGCUUGUUUUUCCAGUCAUGCAACUUUCUCUUUAUGUUUUCUCUGAUGAAGUCAAAGAUCGGAUCUUUUGUUCUCGAGAUCACGAUUGGAAGUCCUAAGUAUUUCCCUUGGUUUGCUUCUACCAUUCCUCCCAGUGAUUUGCACACUUCCUUUCUUUGCUCAUAGGACAUGUUUUUACUAAAAAAGACUGCAGAUUUGUCAAAGUUGAUCAAUUGCCCUGAGGCCACUUCAUAGGUUUUGAGGACUUUCAUAAUUUCGGUGGCCUGUUGCAUGUUAGCUUUACAGAAAAUGAGGGAGUCGUUUGCAAAGAAAAGGUGGGUGAUGAUAGGUCCUUGCUUGCUGAUUUUCAGUCCUUUUAUUUUGUUGCUUUCUUCAGCUUUCCUCAGCGAGUUAUAAAAGCCUUCUGAGCAGAUUAAGAAUAAGUAGGGAGACAAGGGAUCUCCCUGACAUAUUCCCUUCUUGGUGUUACAAAGACUUUAGUUUCUCCAUUGCAGUUGAAAGAAUAGGUGACAGUCUUCAUACAGCUAGUGAUCCAGUUGAUCCAUUUUGUACAAUAGCCCAUCUUCUGCAUCAUUGCCUGCAAAAAAUGCCACUCCACCCUAUCAUAAGCUUUGGCCAUAUCUAACUUGAUUGCCAUAUAUCCUUCUUUUCCUUAUCUUUUGUUUUUGAGGUAGUGCAUGUACUCAUGAGUUAAGAUCACAUUGUCUAAGAUUUGUCUAUCUGGGAUGAAAGCAGAUUGAGUUUUGCUUAUGCAUUUAUCCAAGACAGAUUUCAGUUUGUUGGCUAUGAUUUUGGAAAUGAUUUUGUACAUCACACUACAAAGGCUGAUAGGUCUAUAGCUUUUCAAACAGGUUGGGUUCAGGAUUUUGGAAAUGAGUGAUAUGAUAGUAUGAUUAACAGAUUUAAGCAUGAAACCAGAACUAAAGAAGGAUUGAAUUGCUGGGAUUAGAUCAACCUUGAUAGUGCUCCAGAACCUCUGAAAGAACAAAUGAGACAUACCAUCCUGUCUUGGAGCUUUUUCAGGGUGCAUGGAGAAAAGUGCAGAUUGAAUUUCACUCUCCUCUACAGGCUUAGUAAGCUUAGCAUUCAUCUCCUGAGUGAUGGAAUGGGGAAUACCUUCUAGAAUUUCUGACAUAUCACUACUUCCUCCACUGUUAAACAUGUCCCUAAAGAAAUCUGAGAUUUCAGACACUAACUCAUCCUUAUUUUCUAUCCAAGAACCAUCCUCCCUUUGCAGUUUCCUAAUCCUGUUGUUCGUUCUUCUCCCCUCGAUAUAGGCAUGGAAGUACUUAGUAUUCUUAUCUCCAUCUCUAAGCCAGCUAAUCCUGGCUUUCUGACUCCAGAAAUUUUCUUCCUCUUUGUAGGCCUCUUUCAACUGAUCUUUGAGUUAUGCAAUUCUACCUUUUUUGUUUUCUGCACCUGAGUCUCUUACACUCUCCAAUUCCUUCUUCAAAUCAAAAAUUUUACUUUUAGAGUUUGCCUGGAAGGUAUUUCUCCAUUUCAGAAGCUCAAUUCUACAAUUUUUUAUCUUCUUUGUGAUUUUGAACAUUCUGAAUCCUUGUUCCUCUUUCUGCCAGGCUCUCUCAACCACCUGUUAAACCCCUUCCCUUUGAAGGCAUCUUUUAUUAAAAUAGAACCUUUUUUUCCUUUUUUCUUUAUCUGGAACUGUAUCUAGCAGGAGCAUACUAUGGUCAGAAGCAUAAGUAUCUAUGUGCUGGCAUCUUGCCUUAUCAAAAGUUUGAAACCACUCAAAACUACACAAACAUCUAUCUAAUCUUUGUCUUACCUCUCCUUCAUUAUCCCAGUGAUUGCUCCAUGUCCAAGGGUGUCCUUUAAAUCCUAUGUCUAUUAAACUAUUCUGGUCCAUGAAGUCUUUAAAAUCCUUAAAACUCCUUUCCUCUCUGACUACUCCUCCCCAUUUUUCUUCGUUAGACAAAAUAUCAUUGAAGUCCCCAGCAAUCAUGUAUCUAGCUCCCCACAGUCUUUUCCUAUCACUCAGGACCCUCCACUACUCCUUCCUGGUCUGAGGCUCACAACUAGCAUACACACCAACAAACCACCAGUCCAUUUGAGUAUCAUUGUCUUCUAUUUAGCUUCAUAGGUAAACACUAUUUUGUUCACCUCCAAAAUAUAUGCAUCCUCCUUCCAUAACAGAGCCAUUCCUCCUGUCUUGUUCAUUGCUUCUACUACUGCACCACUAUCAAAUCUAAGGCCUUUAACCACUCUAUCUAUGACUUGUUUCCUAUUCUUAGUCUCACUUAAAAUAUCAGAUUUGGAGAGGAGAGGUUAUUCACCUACCUCAGAUGGGGAACUGUCAAGGGGCUCCCCACUCCUUGGCAGCCCCUUGACAGUUCCACACCAAGACUCUCAUUUCCCUUGGGGGGUCCCAUUAAGGAAGGACCCCACCUCCUCUCCAAUCAUCUCAGUUGGAUCAAGUUCAUCCGCUAGUUUGGCCUUUUUCCAUAACACUGUAACCUGGCUUACUUCCUCUAUUUCUUCAUCUCUGAUCAGUGCCUUCCUUUUGCCAAUACUUAAAUGGUUAUUUUCAUUUCCAUUUAUUUCCUUCAAAGGCCUUCUAGUUUUAGUUGGAGACUUCAACUUUUUGAAUGUUCUUUUGGUCUGCUUCUCAAUAGCUUCCUGUACUAUCACAUUCCUUUGGGGCUCUUCCUGUAUCACUUCCUCCCCUGCAGCUUUCUCAUUCAUUCUAUUUUCUUGAUCCUUCGCUCGAAAAACUGUUUCUCUGUCCUCCUCCAUAUCUUCUACCUCAACUAGAAUUUGGUUCUCUUCUUCCUCCUGUGCUUGUUGUGGGAGGUCUUGUUUUCCCUUAUCUAGGUACAGGGGGCCAUUACUGUACUCUUGUGCAGGUUCUCUAGCUUCUAGUCUAUAUGGUGAACCUCCUAGACCAUGCUCAAUUCUCAUAUCCUCCAACUCCUUCAUAAGAUCCUGAUUGCCUUUUCUUUCUUUUCCUGUGAUCUUAAGAGUUUCCAAGAAGCUUUCCUUCAACUGUGUCCUGGUUCUCUCUUGCUCAAUCAUUUCUCCAUUCUGGAAUUUCCAGUAACUUUUGUCAUUUGGCAUGUCAGUCCUCACUGGUUUUUUCUGUGGUGAAUUUUUGUUAUUUCCUACUCUCAACCAGGGCCCAUACUGGUUCUCUGAAAUGCUUCCUGAUAUGACUCUCUUAUCUUUGCAUGACCGUUCACUGUGACCUACUAUUCCACAACUAUAGCAAAAGUCUGGGCAUCUUUCAUACUUAAAGGCUACCCAUUUGAUAAACCCUGUCAAUUUCACCAUUGUUCCUCUGAGAAGGGGCUUUGACAAAUCUGUUAAGGCUAAGAUUUUCAAAUGUCUACCCUCUUUACCCCCUGUCUAAGGAAUUGGGACCUCUUUUACUUCUUUGAACACAGCCCCAAUCUUUCUACCUACCUCUUUGGUUAGCCAGUGUACUGGCAGGUUCCAUAUCUGUACCCACAGAGGUGCAGUCACAAAGGCUCCAUAAUUCUCUUCAAUUCCUUCUGACCACCUGUUCAACACUAAUAUUUGACUAUCUAUCAUCCAAGGGCCUCCUUCUACAAUUCUGUCUUUGUCGUCUAGAUUAGGGAUGUUGAACUGAAACAAGUUAGGCCCCAGUUCCAUCACUGUCAUUUUUCUAGGAUACCCCCAUGCUGCAACCACAAAGUUCUUAACCCCUGUGAAGUUUGCUACUUUGUCUCCCAUAAUUCUCCCUAUUAGGCUACCUUCACAUUCCCUCACUCCACUAUGUAGAUCUUCAAGCUCUAGCGUAGCUCCUGAGAGCUCAUUCCCAGCAAGAGAGAAUUUUUGCAUCAGCUCAGUCAGGUCACCCUCCAUUGAUAGUACCAGUCUUUCUAGGCAGUAUUUCCUUCUCCACACUCAGGAGAGUUUGAAGUUACUAUAGGAAAGGGAGCAAGACACUACUAUAAGAAAACUAAUCUAUUCCCACUAAAGUCAGGGAAAAAACUACUACAAGAACAGAACUAGCUCUUGUAUAAAACAUAAAAGUUGUAGCUUUGAGUUAGCUUUCCAAUGUAUCAAGAAUCAUCCAAUUUAGAACUCUGUAUACUGAUAAAUGACCAAAAUACCUUUGACUGGUCAGCGCUCUAUUUCAGCUUUCGAUCAUGAAAUUGCACUUCUGUAUUUCGACUUUUUGACAAUGAAAAUGACUGAACUGGACUUCGAUGUCUUCAUACCAAAUGUAGAUCUAUCUCUUAGCUUCAAAAUGGUAUAAAAAUCACCUCAAUUCAAUACUUGUAUCUCAAGAUAUAGCCGAAAUACCACAAGGUAUCAAAGAUGUCUUCAUUUGUAUUUCAUCAUUUGAGUAUUUUGCACUUCAUGUCUUUUUUUUAUCACUUCAAAUCAUCAUCAAUUAUCCAAUUAUCUUCUGAAAUCACUCCAAUUGAUGAUUGAAUCAUUAAAUCUACAAAAACAUGAAGUUUUUACAAUUAAAAUUCAUAAAAAUGUAAUUUUUACCACUUAAACCACAAAAUGCAUAUUUUCACUAGAAAAUUAGUUAAUUAGCUAUAAAAGUAAAUAAAAUACACCAAAACUAAAGAAUAAAACACACAAAAAACACGUAAAAUAUAUGCUUAUCAGCGAGCUCUACAGGAAGUUAAAGGUUAUGUUCAAUCAUCAGAAAACGCAGCUUUUAAUUUACGUAUACAUUCAUAGAACAUUGAAAAGCCAAGGGGAGAUUAAGUAGACUUCAACUAUUACCAUGUUAUUAAAAAACAUGACGACUUUGUUUCUAAUUUCAACAACCUUGUUAUCAAUUCAUUUGUCAAAUCACAUAUCUUACAACUAAUAAUUAGCCGCCGUAACAGUUGAGAGUUUCAAUAUUGAUCACCUAAUAGAGAAAAAUUUAGCAAAGCUAGCUAACUAUUGCCCAAUAAUAAUUGAAAUUGGCAAUCUUGACUGCUUGGCGCCCCAUUAUGCAUUUCCCAUUGGAAUUAACAUUCAAAUAACUACAUUUAAUAUCACCACCAUAGUUGGAAAAUCACCAAAAAUUCAAUCUUUUUUAGCAGAAUUUAACAAAAAACUAGAGAACUUUGAACAUUCAGUUAACCAACACUUGAUUAAAUAGUUGGAUGCUUUAUUAGCCCCAUUCCUCCAAUACAAGUCCUAAAAUAAAAACCCACUAUGUGAUUGUCAGACAUUGAAUUAAUUGAAGCAAAUCAAGCAAAAAAAAGUUGAUAUGUAAUAAUAUAUAAGAGGAACUGAACAUAAUUUCUAUGCCAACAUGCUCAAACAUGAUCUUCAGGGAUUCAAAACAUAUUCGUUCUCGAGUUUAUGUUACAUAUUAGUUCGGGGCUUUGAACUAGAAAUGAUAGACGUGCUUAUAAUAAGCAGACUACAUAUAAUAUAGGGAUAAUUUCAGAAACCUCCCCUGAGAUUUAUGACAAUAUCAUUUAGCAUCCUUGAAAUUUGAAAGAUAUCGCUUGUCUCUCUUAUUUUAAACUUUUUAUAACAUUAUAAAUCCAUUUUAAAAUAUAUUAUUGGAAAAACUCAUUUUUGGAUAGAGAAUUUGUAGUCAAUCCAAUAUUGCCCUUUUCUUCGGCACCAUUUUGUUUUCAUAACAAAUGUAGUUAAUCCUUUAAACUUUUAAAAACUUCGCAGAUAUGGUUUUGCAGUUAAGAAUUAUAGGAUAUUAACAAGAUUGAAAAACAUUUUAAUAGUGUUCAUGCCAUUAGUUGGUGCAAUAAAUAUUAAAUUUAUAAAUUCAAAAGCACUUUUUAGUAAAAUAAUAACUUCUUUUGAUCUUUGAAAACAUAUCAAAUGAGUUUGUAAACAUAAUUUAAUUUUUUUCCAAUUUUUCAAAAAUUAUAAUAAUUUGAAAAACUCCUCAAGUAGACUAUGAACACUUUGUAGUUAAUAAUAUUUUUUUGGCCUGAAAACACCUUAAAUAUAGUCUUAAAAUAAAUUAUUUAUACCUUAAAGCGACUACUGUUAUAUUGUAUCCUGUAAAAUUGCACAUUCACUCAAUUUGUCUAUUGAUUUCAAGCUUUUGUUAAUAUACUUUUAAUUUUGAAAAAAAAAGUAGGACAACAAAGGGCACUUUUGGAAUGAAAACAUCUUCUCUCUUCAAAAAUGAGUUUGUUAAUAAUUUAUUUUGUAAUGGGCCGAUAAUGUCACAAAAAUUAGAAAACAGGGAAGACAAGUGAUUUUUUCAAAAUUCAAAAGUGCUAUAAGUGAAAUUGUCAAAAAUCUCAAGAGAAGUUUCUAAAAUUAUCCCUAUAUUAUAUGCCUUGCAGUUUUCCUGCCCGUAGUUGAGUGCCCAUAUUUUUCCACUUUACUUUUGGUUGAUUCCAAAUAUUUUCCAAUUUACUGGAAAUAAUUUUUCUUUUGCAUCAUCCUCAUUCGUUCAGGAUAUUAAAGAAGGCCAUUAUUCUCUUUCUUAGUUUAAUUUCAAGCGUAAAUAUGCAACCAUUAUACAGUCACAUUCUCUCUAAGUGCUUUCCAAACGGAGGUAUCUCAUCAGUAUAUUAACGGUAAUAAGUUAUAUAGUACAAGAGAGCAUGCGAUACAUGUCAACGUCUCUUAACGUUUAUAGUCACCAAUCACUCUCUAAACCAUCACUAACGGUAGUGGCAGUGGUGUCACCAUCAAAGUUCCAUCACCAACGGCGAUGGCUCUCGUGUCACCACAGGUUUGUAGCCCCUCACCACUCAUUUACGCUUCUGUCGGACUUUAACUUUGGUCGGUAAGUCUAUCUUAUAGCAAUUGUAUCCUUAAUAAAUGCCAAGAAAAAAAUUUGUCUGCUUAGAGUCCCACAAUUCGAUUGGAGAAAUGUGCAUAGAGUAGGUGGAAACAUUUACUAAUUUUCAAAAUUUUUCUGCACUAUAUAGUACUAAGUUAAAGCCUCAAGCCUCACCAACCAAACAGUUAACUUACAUGUCCAGGCUUAUAAUGUUACGAGAUAAUUAAUUUUAAGGGAGAUUAGUGUAAUUUUUGAAAUUUGGAGGAAAUAGUCAGGAAUUUGUGAAAUAGUCAGAAAUCUCAAAGGGAGUUUAUGAAAUUAUCUCUUUGUAAUAAGGGUGAUUAAAAGCCCCAAACGUCAUCGUUUAUUUUAGUGGCAGUUAUUUUUAUAAAUAAUGGCUGUGUAUUAAAGGCAAGGGAUGUAACUGAAAUUGGUAUUUGAUAACUUAAUUAAAGAUUCACCCUUCCUGCUCAAUUAUCGCUCUCUUCAUAUCUCUCUUUCUUUUCCUCUUUUUCUUUCCGUCUUCUUUUCCUUUUCUCUUUGUGUCUUCAUUCUGCACUUAUUCUUCUUUAUUCUAAGCUACUAAAAUCUUCCUAUUGAUUCUAGUUAUGACAAUUGAUAUCAGAGCCGUCGAAUCCUUGCCGCACUAAGACUAAUUUCACGGUGGAAAACCUAGAUAUCAGUCUUGUUACACCCAAAUCAUUGCAUAAGUUCAGCAUAGUUUUGUCUCUUUUAAUUCAUUGAUCGUCUAAAUAAUAAAGAUGUUUUAGUAGUGCCAAUAAUUAUCCAAUCUUCCUCAUGGGAUCGACCCGAUAUCUGUCAUAAACUACUAAUUUGACCUGUAUACUUGCAGUCAAAACGAAUAUAUUUCGGAAUUGAACUUGUACUUAUACUAAAAACCCGUCAGUUACCGAAAUUAAAACUUUCAUUUAUUAAUAUAAAUAAGAAAACGCAAAUCACUUAGUGUAAACACCAAAAUCACUUGAUUCCCUAAAUGAUCUAAAUCAAGAAGUUUUCAUUCCUAUCAUCUUAUCAAUUUAGUAUCAGUGAUUCCAACUUGCAUUAAUUUGUUUUAAUUUAAUUUUUCCAAUACUUUUGGAGAAUGGACAUAUUUUAGCCAUGAAAUUACAUUUUUAUAUAUAAUUUUUAGGUGUCAGUUUGAUUGUAAGUCUAAUAUGUUUGGAAUAUUUUAUAUAGUUGGCCGGCAUAACCAAGAACUUAAUUUCAAUAUUUUUGAAACUUAUAUAAAUAUAAAAUAAUUAUGACAUCAUGCUGAUAUCAACGAAAUUUUUAGAACGGUCUGACCGAUUCGACCAGUUGACCACUGAUCUAAUAUUUUAGCUGAGUCAUUAUUCGGUCCGAGUUUAACAACAUUGCCAGAUAUUGCUCUCUUGAGGAACAAAUCAAGCAACAAGAAACUCGCCUUCAAGAAGGGUUGGACUCAAUGGCUGCAUUUCAAGUGAACUGCCAGCAGACUCUAUAGCAGAAUUUGCAGCAGCAAUUCCACGAUGAGUUGGAAGAAGAAUCAUGGAGCUUGGUGGUUGGGACAUAAUCCUAGGUGUUGAUUGGAUGUGUCAUUUCAAUCCAAUUACCUUUGAUUUCCAUAAGUUAAGCAUUGCUCUCAGCAAUGAGAGGGAACUAGUACAUUUGGCUUUAUUAAUUAACCAGUGAUGGAGUUGGUGAAAGGAAGGACCUCAGGACAUUUAUACAGGACAAAAAAAAUGUCGUGCUUCCAUGCAAUUGGACAUGAUAAAUGUAUGAGUUAGUGAAACUCUUGGAGAAGUCAAAGCUGUGUUGCAACAAUUUUCCAAAGUAUUUGAGACUCCACAAGGCUUGCCACUAAAGAGAUCAUUGGAUCACCAAAUUACACUCAAACUAGGAGCUAAGCCUUUCAAAUUAAAACCAUGCAGGUAUCCUUAUGCCCAUAAAACUGAAAUUGAGCAGCAAGUUGCUGAAAUGUUAACCAAUGGAAUUAUAACACAUAGUGGUAGCGCUUUUGCAUCUCCUGUUUUGUUGGUUAAAAAGAAGGACAACACUUGGAGGUUGUAUGUAAACUACAGGAAAUUGAAUGAAAUGACUGUCAAGGACAGAUUUCCUAUUCCCAAUAUUGAUGAGUUGUUACAUGAACUGCAUGGCACAAAGUAUCUCUCUAAACAAGAACUUACAGUUGGAUAUCAUCAUUGAGGGUUAAAGCUAUAGAUGUUCCCAAAACAGCUUUUCAGACUCACCAUGGAUGCUUUGAAUUCCUGGUGAUGCCUUUUGGAUUGACAAGUGCUCCAACUACUUUUCAAACUCGAUUGAACCAAAUCUUUCAACCAUACUUGAGGAAAUUUGUAUUAGUCUUCUUUGACGAUAUUCUUGUUUAUAGUCCCACCUUAGAAAUGCAUGUGCAGCACCUACAGAUUGUACAAGGAUUAUUAGCAGAAAAUCAACUUUAUUGUAAGCAGUCUAAAUACACUUUUGCUCAGACUUCUAUGGAGUAUUUAGGUUAUAUUAUAUUUGAAAAAGAUUGAUGGUUUAAAAGUAGAGUGCAUUCUUUCUUAGAGAAGUUCCAAAGACUGCGAAGGAGUUAAUGGAACCCCAGGCUACUAUAGAAGGUUUAUCAAGGGCUAUGGAAUCAUAUGUAACCAAUGACUCAAUUACUUAAAAAAUAUGGCUUUGUUUGGGAUUUUGACCCUCAAUCAGCAUUUGAGGCAUUAAAGCAGGCAAUGACUACAACCUCAGUUUUAAGCAUGCCUAACUUUGAAAUUCCACUUAUAAUAGAAACUGAUGCCUAUCGAUUGGAAAUUGGGCUGUCUUGAUGCAAAAUUGACAACCAAUAGCUUUUCUUAGUAAAGCUUCGUCACCUCAAAGCCUCCGUAUAUCAGUUUAUGGAAAAGAGCUGCUUGAUUCAGUAAUGGCAUUAACUAAGUGGAAACAUCACUUGGAUGGCGAUCAUUUUAUAAUCAGGACAGAUCAUCAAGCUCUCAAAUACUUGUUGGAACAAAGGCUCACUCACUCACUGCAACAGUUUAAGUGCCUGACACAAAAAUGUUGGGAUUGGAUUAUGAAAUCCAGACAAAAAGGGGACCGACAAUAGGGCAGCAGAUGCUCUCUCUAUAAGGAGGAUCUUGGAGAAUAUAGAGUCUGGAUCAUAAAUUGGAACCCUAUAUGCCUCAUCCUCAGCUCAACAAUAUGGAUGAAUGAGUUAUGACAAAGUUAUGAGGGAGAUGUGUUUGCUCAGGAUAUCAUUGCUCAACUUAUGUUGGAUCCAAACUCCAAUCCUAGGUAUUGUUUGGAGAAUGGACUACUUAAGUUCAAAAGUAGACUAUAUGUAUGGACUGCCAAUGAGACCAGAAUCAAAUUAAUCAAAGCUUUACAUAUCUCAGCUGUAGGAGGACACUCUGGGCAAAAAGGAUGCCUACAUAAAGUCAAUACACUCAAGCUUGGUCCCAUUUAAAGUCAAUACAUAAAUUCAAUACACUGAAGCUUGGUCCCAAAAAGGAUGCCUACAUAAUGUCAAUACAUAAAGUCAAUUUAUUGGCCUCACAUGAAAAAUGAUGUGCCACAGUUUGUGAGAACUUGUGAUGUUUGCGAAAGAAGAAAAAGUGAAAACAUGCCUUAUCCAUGUCUAUUGCAACCAACUCCUGUACUUACUCAAGCUUGGUCCCAUUUAACAAUGGAUUUUAUUGAACAAUUGCCACUAUCUAGGGGUUUUGACACUAGAUUAGUGGUGGUGGACCGUUUGACAAAAUUCAGUCACUUCAUUGCACUGACUCAUCCUUUUACUACCAAACAAGUGGCUCGGUUGUUCAUUGACAAUAUUUAUAGACUUCAUGAUUUAUCAGAAACAUUAGGGAUAUGGUGUUUACUAGCAGAUUUCUAGUAGGAAUUGAUUAAGAUGAUAGGCAUAGACCUUCAUUAUAGCUCUUCUUACCAUCCUCAAUCAGAUGGCCAAAAUGAAAGGGUGAAUCAGUGCCUUGAAAACUACCUAAGGUGCAAGUGCAGUGAGCAUCCUAGGCAGUGGAGUAAUUGGAUCCCUUUGGUAGAAUUCUGGUAUAACACCAAAUUCCAUACUAGUUUGCAACUCACUCCUUUUGAAGUAUUAUGUGGCUAUCAACCAAAUCAUCUUCCUUUGGGGCCAUUCCAUGAUGCUACAAUACCUACUGCAGCUGCUUUAGUAUAGGACAGACUUCAAGUAUUAUCCAACAUCAAGGAGAACUUGGUUAAGGCACAGAAUCGAAUGAAGUACUGUGCUGAGUAGCAUAGGACUGAAAGAGAGUUUUUGGUUGAAGAUUGGGUAUUUCUCAAAUUGCAGCCUUACAAACAGCAAACAGUGGCCAUUAGGAAAAAUUUAAAACUAUCAACCAAAUAUUAUGGCCCAUACUAGAUCUUGAGGUUGGAAAUGUUGCUUAUAAGCUCAAACUUCCACCAGGACCACAUAUUCAUCGAGUGUUUUCAUGUUUCGUUACUAAAAAAGAAAAUUGGGACUGAUCAUAGUAUUACUUCUACGUUGCCAGAAAUGGAUACUUUUUGACCAUUGUCUUUUGGAACUAGAGAAAGUGUUACAGAGGAGGGUUAUUUUGAGGAACUCAAAGCCAGUUAUUUAGUACCUAAUAAAAUGGAAACAUCAGCCACCAACCUUUAGGCCUGGUGGUCACCGCAAAGCACUUAAGUUUUGGUUACCAAAUUGUCAUUAUAUAUGGGUGCUUUUAGUGACUUUUUCCGAUGGAGUUUCUACUCCUAUCAGCUCCCCAUCCCCCUAAAUUAGAAUAGAUUAGAUAAUAAUAAUGUUACCACAAAAAACAAUUUUGAACCAUCAAGGGGGAAGAUAAAGCUUCAUAGGAAGAUAAGAGUUUUAUCAACCAUCAAUUUCCUACUUUUCAAGCUUAAGAAGAAGCUGUGUUCUAAGGGAAAGGGAAUGCCAGGAACUUAAAAUUAUUAUAAUUGUCAUUUUACAUAGAGUAACCUGCCUUUUGUAAUAAGAGUGAUUACGAACCCUAAACUAGGUCGUUUACUUUAGUGGCAGUUAUUUUUACAAAUAAUCUAUAUAUCUAUAUGUAUUGUAGGGAUGGUUUUUAGGAUGGUUAAAUCAGAAUGCUUAUAACUCCUCAUUUUUUUUAUAGAAUUUUUAAUUUGUUUAAUUGUUAUAUAUCCUUUCAUGUUUUUUGAAUUUAAAAGUAAGAAGUGGCCCACUUAUAUAGGAAUUUGAUUUGAAAUAUAUUAAUGUGAGGGUAAAUAAAGAGGAAAAAUCACCAACCCUACUAAGAGUAAAAAAGUAAAUAACAAUAUUUUACCCUUCAACUUAGUAAUCCUAACUAAAAGGGCAAAUUAUAUAGAAAACAACAAGAAAAUAAUAUUCAUUGGUCAUGGAUUUAAAAUAUCAAUAAUGGUACCAUUUGUGAAUUCUAAAUUAUGAAAUCACUGAAUAAAAAACAAAGUAUUACUAGUCUAAAAAAAAAUUAUGGAUUUAAAGGGUUUGGGAGAAUGGUGAAGGGAAAAUAAUAGGAAAUUGGGGGGAGGGGGGCAAUGAUAGAAAGCUAGAGGCUAGCUGUAGGCGAGGGAAAGACAAUAACAAGGUAAAGAGUGGUGGGAAAAGUCAAAAAAGGAAGGUGGACUAUUACAAGAUUGGACGGAGAGAGGGGAGAAGAAAGGAUGGGAUUGUGAGGAUAUGACAGGAAGGAUGGCACCGUGGCAAGAAGUCUGAAAGUCAUAGACGGUAGCAGAUAGCCAAUUAGCAGGUAAAAGAUAGGAGAAUAAUUUUCUAAAAUUGAGGAAAAUGAAUUAGUUAUACUUUAUAUUUUUAAUGUUAAAAAGUUUGAUGUAUAGGUAUAACAUGAUAUAUUGAUAAAUAAGUUUACACUUGGUCUAUCAUAUAAGUCGUUAUAUAUUAAAUUAUUUCAUUCAAAUUGUUAUCAUAUAUCGACAAACAAUAGGUUAACAAAAUUUGGUUUCAACUUAUUUAAAAUAUUAAAAUUAAGAAAGUCCAUUUUGUAUUUACGAAAUAAACUUUUUUUAACAUGGUAGGUAUACACUUCUUUGAAUUUUUUUUUGUCUCUUCAUAUGCUUUAUCUUAUACUAUAAUUGACGGGCUUUUACUACAAGUGCAAGUUUAAAUAUGAUUUUAUACCCGUUGUCUGCAAGUAUACAGGUUAAUCAAAUAAUAUAUGGCAUGUAUCGGGUCGAUCCCACAAGGAGCAAUGUCUACAAGUACUAGGUUCUUAUUUUCUCUAUUAUUUAGACUUAUAAUGAAUUUGAGCAGAGAAAUAAUAUUGCUACUGUCUACAAUUCUGAGUUAACAAAUUGCAAGAUACAAAUGGAGAUUUUUCACUAAAGACUUAAAUCUAGGGAUAUAGAUUUCACUUAUGGCACAAAAGAUCUGAUUUAAUGAACUUAACACUUGUUACUACUCUUGUUUAACCAGGGAUUCAUUUCCAAAAAUACCAAAAUCUCAUUCUCAUGAUAAUAAUGGUCAAGAAUAGUUUAGUUUUUCCUAAUCUCUUGGUAAAUAACUAACUCUGUUCUUACUUCAUGCAUGAAAUGCAGAUUAAUCCACUUGAAUGUAUUUCUAUUCUCAUGAACAUAUAACUCAAGUUCUACUCAUGUUUUUCCAUUGUUACUACCAAUUCUCAUUGAAUAAUAAUAACUAUAAACCUGCUAUUGGUGAUCAAAUAACAACAAGUAAUUAACCAUGAACAAGUAAACAAGUUAAUACAAGAUACAACAAGUGUAAAUCACAUUCAAUUCAUAUCAUUUGGCCACAAGUUUCAUCUACUCCCUAAAUAUAGAAAUUUAGCUACUCAUGGAUGAUAUAACAAUCAAACUCAUAACUUCAAUAAUGAAAAACAUCUCAAGUUACAAGUACUAGAAGGUUAAGAAAAGCUUAGCCAAGUUAAUGGUGAAACCCUCCAAUUUUUGCUAUGUCUUGCACUAGAAAUGAUUACAAGAUGAAGUCUCCAAAUGCUCCUUCAGGAACUUCAAGCUAGAGAGAAAAUGUUACAAGAAGAAAACUAGCUACGUAUGGUCUCUGUAUUGACUUCUGGUUGUUUCCCUCCAUAAAAGCUGAUGGAAAGUCCUCUUUUUCUCCCCUCAUGAUUCCAAAAUCUCCAAUUUGUUAAGAAAGUCAAAAGAGAUGUUGUUUUGACUUGAUCAUAAAUCAUUUUGUCCUUCUUUUUGCUUCAGAAACAUGUGCCACCGAAUUCUCUUACCAAAGAUAGCUGGAAAGUAGUGUGAAAAGAAAGAAAACCGACUGUGCCACUUGCAGAGGAGAGAUGCAGAUCCGAGCCUAGGAUCUGAGGGGUGCAAUACGAUCCAAGCUCGGAUCAAGACUGAUCCGAGGCCUUUCUAACAUGGAUCCGAGCUCGGAUCAUCUGUCCUCGGAUCCAUUACUCCAGAAGUACAGACGAGGGCUCGGAUCGACCUUGGUGUACACAGAUCCAAGCUCGGAUCCCUGUGCUUCAAUUUCCAGACUUUUGAUUCCUUCCUUUUUACUUCAUUUUUGCUCCUAGUUUCUUUUGUACUUUAUCCUUCAGAUGAUCCUUGCUUUUUCUUUAUCUCGUACAUGAAUUUCCACAUAUCAAUAUCCUUCAAAAUAUCACAGAUUAAAGCAUUAAUCCACUCUUUUAGCAAGUUUUGAUUACUCAAACAACACUUAAGCAAUUAGCACCAAAAAGAGUUCAAAUAUGGCUUUAAUCCUCUCAAAUCAUGCCAAAAGUUCAUGCCAACUUGUACAAAAAUAUGCGUUAAAUAUUCACUUAUCAAUAAUAUAUAAGUAUUGUUUUCAAUUGAAAUAUAAAUCUGUGCAUAGCACGAGUCAGAAUACUAGUGGCUAUGUACUAAAGGCAAGAGAUACAAAAGAAAUUGGUAUCGGAUAACUGAAUGAAAGAUUCUGGGAAAGUUGGGGUAGGAGGAGUAAUUAGGGAUGAAAUGGGAAUCUAGAAAAGGGAUUUUGCACAAACUUAGGAAUAAUUAGCAAUGUCACUGCUGAGCUAUGGGGCAUAAUCAGGGCUUGGAACUAGCAUGGGAGCAAGGCAUGAGGAAGAUUGAGGUAGAAACAGAUUCACUAACCAGUAUUAUGCUGAUAAAGGAGGAGAAUAGGGAGGGACCAUAUGCAAACUUGGUGAAGAUUAUUCUAGAGGGGCUGAAAGGAGAUUGGGAGUGCAAGAUAAUCCAUACAUGGAGAGAAGGAAAUAGAGUAACUGACUGUCUAGCUAAGCGCAAUCUGGAACAGGACAUGGGAUUGACAAUUUUGCAAGAACCACCGGAUAGUGCGAGGAGUCUUUUACUUGAAAAUAUUAUAGGGGUUGCUAUCCCAAAGCUUGUAAAAAGCUAGUGGGCCUUAAGCCCUCCAACGCACCAAACAAAAAAAUAUAUAUAUUCUUCCUCCUUGCUCAAUUCUCUCUCUCUUUCACUCUUCCUAUCUUUCUUUGUUUUUCUCUUUCUCUUUCUCUUUCUCUUUCUGUCUUCGUUCCGCACUCCUGCCUCUAUAUUCUUCUUCAUCUUUAAUUCUAAGCUACUAAAAUCUUCCUACUGGUUCAAUUGUGAUAGCAACUUGAAGACUCUUAAAACCUUUUUUUGGCCACUUAGCUGAGCCUAGUGAUUAAGAUCUAUGUUAGCAAAUUGAGUUCAAAUUUAUAUACCAUUUGGUUUGUUAUGACUCAACAAGGCUUGAAUAAUUUUUUAAAUAGCUCUUAAUUAACAUAUAUUUUAUAAAGUGAUAAAAUUACAUUAAAAAUUAAUAAUAAAUAAACAAAUUCAAUUUUGAAUAGAUCUUGAUUUUAUGGGAGAUAAGAUCUAAUAGGCUAGGCUCCACUUCACUGUAUUGAAGAGAAUUUUUCUCCAUUACACCCCAAUAAAAUUAAUUUCAAAAUUAUAUUCAAAAAUCAACACCAUUCAUAAUAUAUUUUUACUAUUAUUCAUAUAAUAGUAGAAUUUUUCAGUUAUGCCCCUAUUAUGACCCAUGCAAUUUUGAAAAAUUUUCAAUUGUACCCCCAUUAUGUUGUUUAGAAAUGUGUGUGUGUGUGUAUGUGUGUGUGUAUAAUUAGUUUUGUAACUUAAUGAAAAUGAAAUGUUACAAAAUUCAAAACAAUGGCCUUCCACAUCAAUAAAAUGAAUUUUGUGAAUUUUUCAGUAAAAGUAAAAAUAUAGAGUAAUUGUGUUGCUUAGUAAAAUAAAGUAACCCUAAUUUUUUUUCAAGAAAGUAGAGGUGACUUUUUAAUAAAACAAGAAAUUUUAUAUCCUUCUACCUUAGAAAACUAUAGGUCUGUGGUUACUUUAAAAGGGUUGUCAUAUAUUUUUUAAAGAAAAUUAUUGUGUUAUUAUGUAAUUUUGUGUUAUAUUACUCAUUAAACAGAAAUUUUUAUAUCUGUUCAAAGCGACUACUUGUCAUGUCCAAUUGUUGCUCCAAAACCAAUAAAAGAGUUCCAUGUGAUGUAAUAUAGUUUAUGUGAAAAAUGUUGUUAUGUACUACUUUUAGGAAAGACAAGGAAGAAAUUUUGAUAUUAUUUUUGCCCCCACUAACAAUUAUUUCUGGCUCCGCCACUGUUGAAGCCCCACGUUUAGGCCACUGAUCAAGCUUACAUCUCAUGUUGCAGAUAUUCUAGAUAGUUCUAUGCAAAAGUCCUUUAAGAUUUGAUCGUGAUGUACAUGGCCUGUAAUAUAAAGGCUUAAAGAUGUACCAUAAAAUUUUUCCUUUGGAUUAAUGCAGUAAAUUAUGCUAUUCAUCACGUAUAAACCGCAAACAAUGUGGUUCCUUGUUUAAAGAAGUACAAACAAUAUUCCCGUUUUUACACACUUCCUUUAGGAUUACCAAAAAAUUAUAUUUGACAUGUUAGAUCCUGAUCAAAUUUUUGCUGAUAAUAGUAGCAGAAUUAGAAAAUUUAAUUUGAGGGUGUGAAAUGCAUACACAUAUAAACUUUGGAGUCAAUAUAAAAAUUUUUGAAAAGUUUCGAGGGACAAAUAGGUUAAUGCAUAUAGGUAAUUUUGAAAUUCUCAAACUUUUAAAAAGAAAAAGCAUGAUUUUCUAGAAACUUGGGAGCAAAUGGCUAAAUAUAUAUAGAAUAUUUUAAAAAUUCUUAAACUUUUAUAGAAGACAAAACAUGAAUUUCUAGAAUUUAUGAGACGGUGGCCCCUCCCUGCCCUUAGUUCUGCCUUGACUAAGAACAUGCUGAAGAUUUUUCAAAAUUGAGAAUCCGGCCAUGGAUUAUUGAGAAUCCGGGGUUGGAUUCUAUGGAAAUUGAAAUGGAUUUAAUGUCCGGAUUCAAUCCAGAGAAUUGUGAAAAUUUUGUCGAAACCUGUCAAACUGGAUCCAUAAAUGGAUCCAUUAGGAUCGCGGUCGAAUUCUUUGUAGCAAUCAAAAAGUUUCAAUUUUUUGUUUUGGCACAUUUUUGUAUUUUGGUGGUUAAUUAACCUCCAAAUGAUGUCUAAACCAUUGAAGAAUAUCUGAACACUUGCAUUAGUAUCGAGAAACCUUUUGACCAAUAUAAUUCAAAGAAAAGUUACAAAUUAGUUCGACAAAAGUUGCAACAAUUGAUCACUUUACAAUCACUCUUUUAUAAAAGGUCAAGUAAAAAGUGGUUAGCUGCAGAAAAUCACUUUUCUACUAUUUAGAAUUAUGUGCAAAAAAAUGCAUCAUAUUUCAAGUUUGUGUUUGUCUCAUUUAGUGCAAAAGUAGAAGACAAACAAAUUUCAAAUUAUUCUAAAGGAUAUUUGUCCAAAUUCUUUUGUACACGAAUUUUGGACAAAUAAAAUCUAAAGGAAAGUGAUUUAGAAUUACUAUUUGAAGCCAUCUUUGUAUCUUAAACUUUGUUUUUGUUCAGCCAUUUUAUUUGUUAUAUCCAUAAAAGAACAUUAACCCGGUGCAAAUUUUUUUGUUUAGCAAACAGAAGAGAUAACUUUGGUGUUAAGCUAACUCUUCUAAGAGAAUUUUGUAGCGAGUUAUUUGAUGCCAAUUAAUUUACGUUUCUCAAAUUUUAAUAAUUCAGUCCUCUACUCGACAACGUUGGAAUGAAGUCUAAUCAAUAAAACUCAGCAAGGUCAUUAUUUUCUGACGCUGUCACCUUCAAUUUGUGUACUAACCAUUUUAUUUUGAGCUUGGACAAGCCACGUGACGUUUGGUAAUUCAACAUAACUCCUUUUUUCUUCCUUGUUGACUUGUAUAUGCAAAAAUUACUUGAUCUAAAAGGACAGAUUAAGUAAUUAACAAAAUAUCACUUUAUUCUCAUACAUUUAAUAAAGUAGUAUUACAAAUCAAUCAUUACAAUGCCCUGUGCAUAUAUAGCACAAGAGUCAUGCUAGUAGAAAUUUAGAACAAAUCCAUGGAUCAUUUCAAAAACUGUGCCUCAAGUAAGUCAAUGACUUUCUUGUCGACUUGGAAUGCCUUGGCGAGAACAUCUGCAGAAAUGAGAGGAUCUGAUCCAAAGACUGCAUUUGCAAUAGUAAUGACUCCUGGAUUUUGGCUGCCAAAACCAGCAAAUGCAACAGCAUUCGUCUUCGCAACAUUAAAUUGGAAGUGAAUCAGACCUUCAGGGAACACGAAAACAUCUCCUGGAUUCAACGUUUUCGUAAAGAGUUGAUUUUUCAUGUUAUUUGGUGGAUUUGAAGUGACAAACCCAACAUUAAGAGUGCCCUCUAACACGAAUAGGACCUCGGUUGCACGAGGAUGAGUAUGGGGUGGGUUUAGGCCAUAAGGAGCGAAAUCGAGACGAGCUAGGGAAACUCCCAAAGUGUUGAGCCCAGCUAGAUUGUUGACGUUCACAGCAGUAACAUUAGAACCUUGUCGAUUUGCUGUAUUUCGAGGUACGUUCAGUCCCUGAAAGAAGAAAUCAUUGGCGUUCACGACCUUUGGGUCCUUGCAAAUCUUUCCGUUCACAAAC
RNAcentral lists this long non-coding RNA (34268 nucleotides) under Coffea arabica (coffee). RNAcentral describes it as "long non-coding RNA (CARA_LNC006786)". Lineage: Eukaryota; Viridiplantae; Streptophyta; Magnoliopsida; Gentianales; Rubiaceae. The record is from RNAcentral.